GAGGAGCGUGUUGGCCAAAGUGGUGGAUGAGUGUGAUUCAGCGGACGGCUGUGCGAAUAACAUAGUUGAUGGAUCUGAUGGUGUGUGGGCUGCUCUGGGGCUGGAUAUCAAUCUUGGUGAAGUGCACGUUACUUGGUCCAUGGCUUAGAUAUCCGUAUGGUUAAUGAGUUGGGUUGGUUUUUUGUGUUCCCCUCUACUUUGGUUAUGAUGUAAUUUUGCAGCAAUAUGCACUGAAAUAAAAUAGCUGGAAGGCGCUAGCCCAGUGCCACCAGAACCCCAUUGACUGGUUUGAUUAAUAAAGAGUGAUUAUCGGCAGAAUGAACUACUUCAAGUCUUCAACCAUCACAUCGAUUAAUUAAUAAAGAAUCCCAUCAACUGUUGUUAUCCUCCUUAUACACAUUGAUUAAUUAGGCUUUAUAAACACCUACGAAACUUAAAGAUUGUUUUCCCUGAUGAUCAGUACUUCACAGUUACUUUGUUCACCACAACAUACAUCGUCUGAACAUUGGGCAGCAGCCGAUUAUUGUCUCUGUACCAUUAAUUAUCGAUCCUAAUCAACUCAUUUUUAUCCAAUCGUACUGGGCAGUACUUACAAGACAAGUCUUUAUUAUUAUUUUUUCAACAUUACAGCUAUCAAGAAAUCAUUUAAGCUUAUUAUUUUAAUUUGUUGAACAAGUUAACUUCAUUGCAUAGUUAUUAAACCACCUAUUAAUAAAUAAUUUUUAUUUUUAAUAAAUUAAUAUAUAAAAUUAAAUAAACCCAAUCCAGUUAUUAAAAUAUCGUUGAGCUAAAAAAAUGAGCUUAUUUCUCAAAUAAGCUGGAGGGGCUCGAACCCUCACAAAAUAUUUAAGGAGUGUCCAAUAUACCACUAAAUUAAUUAUAAUUAUUUUAUAAUUAAAUAAAAAAAUUUCAUUUAGUAGAUUAAAAAAAAUAUAAAAAUUAUCAAGAUAAUUUUCUUUAUAGUGUUUUUAAUAUUAAAAAAUUAUACAUUUAUCAUCAUUUACUUUAUAUCAUUUAAUACAGUUGAAUUAAAUGUAUCAUAAUUUUAAUAUUAAAUAUAUUUAAAAAUUAGACAUAUUACAAUCAAAUAUCACAAUAUUAUUAUCGAAUAAUAUUUUAUGUAAUUUAAUAAUCAAUGUACACUUUUAUUUAUGUAAUUUAAUAAUCAAUGUACACUUUUAUAUAUAUAUAUAUAUAUAUAUAUAUAUCAAUUUCUUCAACAAAACAAUUUUAAAAAGUCUAUUAUACUUCUAAUUUCAGUUUUAAGAGUUUUUUUUUAUAUAUUUUCAUAAAUUUUGAUCAAAUUUAAAUUAAUCGAUAUUUUUUAUCAAAAUAUCUGUCUAUAUAUCCAUAAAAUCAAAAUAUCGAUAUAUUCGUGAUUACUGAUAAUUUUAUCCUUGACCCAAUCAUUAGUAAAAAUAAAUAUUACACCCAAUAAAUUAUUUAUAUAUAAUAUUAUAAUCUAAACUAAAUUAUGUAUAAAUAAAUUUGUUCAAAGAAAGUACAUGUCAAACAAAUUUUCAUUUAAUUCCUAGUAAUUUGUUUUAAACAUAUUAAAGUAGUUGAAAUACAAAUGUUCAAUCAAAGUUUUAUUUAAUUUUUAAUCUAUCAAAUGAGAAUAUCAUCAAACUUCCUAUAAGAAAACAUUGCUUUCCACAUAAAAGAAUCAACUCCAAAUUAAAUUUGCACUAUCACCAAUAUCUGCUUCAAAAAUUACACAAAAACCUAAAGUUUAGUAGUACAAAUUAAGUUUUCAAUAUCAUAUACUAUUUUUGAAGAAUUCUCUUGUCACUAUAAACAAAUACUUGUCUUUAUGAUAAAAUUAAUUUGAGUAAGGAUCUAAGGUAUAACUUACUUGCCCUAAGAAAAUUUUAACUUCAACCAUUUCAAAUAUAAGAUCGCGUUAUACCUCAAAUAAUAGAGUAUAAUAGUAUUAAGAAUUCAAUAAACUACUACUACUUCUUCUUCUUCUUCUUCUUUAUUUUAAGCAAAAUAAUAUAUAUUUCAUCAUAAACCAUACUAUUUUAACUUCAACCAUUUCAAAUAUAAGAUAGAGUUAUACCUUAAAUAAUAGAGUAUAAUAGUAUUAAGAAUUCAAUAAACUACUACUUCUUCUUCUUUAUUUUAAGCAAAAUAAUAUAUAUUUCAUCAUAAACCAUACUAUUUUAACUUCAACCAUUUCAAAUAUAAGAUAGAGUUAUACCUUAAAUAAUAGAGUAUAAUAGUAUUAAGAAUUCAAUAAACUACUACUUCUUCUUCUUUAUUUUAAGCAAAAUAAUAUAUAUUUCAUCAUAAGCCAUACUAUUUUAACUUCAACCAUUUCAAAUAUAAGAUAGAGUUAUACCUCAAAUAAUAAAGUAUAAUAGUAUUAAGAAUUCAAUAGACUACUUCUUCUUCUUCUUCUUCUUCUUCUUCUUCUUCUUCUUCUUCUUCUUUAUUUAAGCAAAAUCAUAUAUUAUUCAUCAUAAACCAUACUAUUUAUCAUUAUCCUAAUAAUACUAAACUCAAGGUUACGUAUAAUAAAAUGAAAUAUCUAAAAGUAUUUUUUUGAAUUCUAUAUAUGUUAAAAACUAGUAUUAAAUUAAGAAAAAUAAAAUAAAGAAAAAGAGUAUUAAUGCAUGUUUACAGCUAAAUAAUGCAAAGAUUGAGUGUCAUUUUGAUAAAAAGGCCACGAAGUACGUGAUACAUAGGAUUUGGUUAUCUCAAUGUAUUAAAACCAAUGCUAAAACCUGCUUGAAGAAAAAAAACUAGAAUACUCAUACCCUAAUUAAGUACCACAAUAAAUUAAUAUCAUAAAACAUUAUAAUAAAUUUACCUUUGAUUAGAAUUUGUAUUCAUCUCAAGUAACCAAACAAAUUACCUCUAAAUUAUUUUAAAAUUUUGCAUAGUUUAGUUCACAUCAUUGAAAAUAAAAAGGUUUUUCAAAUGUCAUGAUCACUAUAUAUUUUCUAUCAAUGCAUAAUUUCAAUAAUUAUGUAAUCUUGCUUUUACAUUGAUACAUGGAAGCCACUCGCUUCUUAUUUCACAACUCGUCAUUUGAACACUUAACCAAUAAAUGUUUUUUUUUUUUCCGUUUUUUCUUAAUUUUAAAUUUUUUAUUUAUCUUUUCAUUUAAAUAUAGAAAGAUCUUUAUUACAAAUGUAUUUAAAAUAAAAAAUAUUUAGAGCUAUUAAAAAUCUAUUUAAAUUGAAUUUAUUUAUAUCUAAAAGAUUUUUAUUCUUUUUAAGUUUUUAAAAUGUACUAUAAACUAGUGUAUCUGUUAGCCAACGAUUCUCCAGAUCGUGUUUUGAUGAUAAAAAAGCAUAGUUAAGUUGUUAAUUUUUUUUGAAUUAUAAAGAAUUUCAAGUGUUAGUUUGAAAAUCCAUUAAAGAACCCAAUGGAUGUAAGAUAAAGACAAUUGGAAAAUUUUACUCAUAGAAAACAUAUAUAAGAUGAAUGCAUGGAUGCAUUUAGGUUUUUCAUAUCUUUUCAUGCAUCUUUAAAAACUCAGUUUAUGCUUUAAAGUUACAUUUACAUCAAAACUUAAGUUUUAUUAAAUGAACUUUAGGCAAAUCAUUUCAAAAUUGGCAUAAUAAUUUACCUAAAAACCUUACCUAAGUGUUAGAAGAAAAAAAAACAUAAAAAAAAAAAGUUUUUGGGCCAAAAAUUGUAAACCAGUCGAGGCACUGGCCAACUAGCUCAAUUGACUAGGGUGCCGAUCAACCGAUUACACCUUCUCGAUCGAGGUCCGAUUGAGAGAUGCAAAAAAUCUUCUCUCUCUUCCAAUAGCCUUGCAUUCUUGAUCGAGGAAUAUGUCUUCCCGAUCGAGGCCUAACGGUCACCUAACAAGCAUUUAUUGCCCAAUAGUUAGUUAACCAGUCGACCUCCAGCUCGACCAAUCAAGGUUAUUUUUUUUUUUGGUCUUUUUGGCUCUCAAGGCUAUAAACUUAUAAAUUGAGAACUCGACUUCAUUUAUGAGUAAGAGAACACCUACAUUUAUUUGUCUACCUACUUGUUCUUGCCUCAAAAACUUUAAUUCUUUCAUUAGUUCAUUAAAUUUUCAUUUGCAUAUUCCUUAAUGCACCCUUAUGAUUCAUCCUAGCAUUUGAGUUGUAUUUAAGCCCUUGUUGAGCUAGGUUGAAAGAUUUGAUUUUGUUAUUCGAUUGUUAGAACCUUUAAGUGAGUAAAGACUUGAAAAUAUUGUAUAAGAGCUCAUUUGAGCUAAAAUCCAAGUGUAAAUGUGUCAGAAGCUUGGUUGAAACUUCAAAUAUAGUAGAACCCUCACUCGGUUAGGAGCUUGAGAAGAGUGGACGUAGGCAAGGGGUGUCGAAUCACUAUAAAAUCUGAAUUUGCUUCUUCGAACCUUAUCUCUUAUGUAUGUGCUUCCUUUACUUGAAUUUGUUGUGGUUGAAAACAAAAAUUAAAACCCAAUUCACCCACCCCUCUCUCUAUCUCUCUCUCUCUCUCUUUACCUCUUGGGUGUUUUCUCUAUUAAGAUUAGUCUUUAUUUUCUCAGUAUCUAAGAACAUAAAUAUGUGUUUUCACUCUUAAUAGCCCAAAAUAGAUUCUUUUUAAUCCAAUUAAUUCAUUUGAGAAUAUAUGGAAGAAUAAAAACCAAUCAAGACACAAGACAAAAGAUUAUUUACAUGGAUUUCCAUACAACAUGUGGAAAUAAAAAAACUAAAAAAAAUACCAUAGAGUCAAAGACCUCAAAUUUAUAAUCCACUUAUGAGAGUACAACAAAGUUUUACCUAACAGACAUUAUCCCUAAGACUUACUCUUCAAUACUCAUACUGCAUUUUACAUCCGCGAUACAACACCUUGUGUGCUCCCAAUGGAUCUCACCUUAGUAUUUGAAGGGAUGUAGAUCUCUUUCACAAUCUAACAAAAGCAAACAUGAACACUUCUUUGAGAGUUUUGGAAAGAAUAAGACAAAUUAGAUUUUCUAAUUCAGAAGCACUAAGCCAAAAACCUUUUUAAGCAAGGCAUAUGUAGGCCUAGAGACCUAGUGGAUCGAUACUUAGAAAAUCCUUGAUUUAAAUCCAUUAAAAAAUGGAAAGAGUGAACUCCAAAAUUUUGGAGGAUUCUAUCUCAUGUGCUUAUGCGCCCUUAUAGCCCUUGAGUGCUCUUCAAGCAUUGAAUUUAGUGCUCUUUCUCUUUUCUUUUUGGGAGAAUUAUGUUUUAGAGGUAGAUAAGCCCCCAAAUUAACAAAAUGUUCAUAUAACUCUUCAAAUUGAGUUGAAGGAUAUGAAAUAGUAACGGACAAAUAUACCCUUUAAGAACACAUAAAAUAUUUUAUAAAAUUAAGUUAAAUAAAAAAAUUUUAAUAAUUUUUUUUUCAAAAAUACUAAAUUAAAUAAAAGUGGUUUUCAAAAAUAUUAAAUUAAAUUUUUUUUUCAAAAAUAUUAAAUUAAAUAAUUUUUUUAAAUAUUAAAUUAAAUAAAAGUAUUUUUAAAAAAUAUUAAAUUACAUAAAAGUAUUUUUAAAAAAUAUUAAAUUAAAUCAAAAAUAUUUUUAAAAAAUAUUAAAUUAAAUAAAAGUAUUUUAAAAAAUAUUAAAUUACAUAAAAGUAUUUUUUAAAAAUAUUAAAUUAAAUCAAAAAUAUUUUUUAAAAAUAUUAAAUUAAAUAAAAGUAUUUUUCAAAAAUAUUAAUUUUUUUCUCAAAAUCAACAAAGGACAUUUUUGGAAAUACUGAAGGAUAAUAUCCUUCAACUCAAUUUUCAUACUUUCAUUGAGUCUUGGGAUCAAUUUGAAGAGUUACACGGACCUUUUGUUAAUUUGGGGGCCCAUCUACCCCUAAAACAUAAUUCUCCCUUUCUUUUUUUCUUCUCUCUCUCUAUAUAUAUAUAUAUAUAAUAAAAGGUUAAUUAAUUUUAUUAUAUUUUACAAAUAGAUUUAUACUUUUUCUUGCAUUAUUUUAAAAUAAAAUUAGAGUAAAGAAAAUGAAAAAUAUAUGAACAAAUUUAAUUUUAGUAUUUUUAUUUUUAAAAACGAAUUUUCAUUUUGCUCAACCCAAAGCUGUUUGGAAGUGAUCAUUUUCAAAAGUAUGGGAAACCAAAGGCAGCUAGAGAUUUAGUUAUAGUGUGUAGCAUGUGCAAAGACUUUGAACUCAAACCACCAAGGUGUACAACCUCUCUCUCCCUUAAUUGCAUUCGUUCACGAUCCCUUUAGAUACUUCUUCCCUUUUGGGUCAUGUAAAGUAGUGGCAAGACAAAUCCGAAUUGAUUCCUUACUAUAUAUAUAUACUUCUUCCCUAAUAUCUCGUGAUCACGAUCCCCUUUAGAUACUUCUUCCCUUUGUGGCAAGAAAAAUCCGAAUUGAUUUCUUACCAUAUAUAUAUACAUAUGAUAUGAUGUUCCAUAAUACGGUCAAAUAUAUUUACUUUUAAAGUUUCUUUCUCCACAUUAUUUUUCUUAUAUAGUAGAUUUAAAAUAUUCUUUAUCUACCCAUUUGCCGAUGCAUGUUUGUAAUUGUGGGAGUCAUUAGCAUUAAUUAUUGAAGGCAUGUGUCUAACCUAAAAAGAAGUUAGCAUUAUCGAAGGCCUAGUCUUAUGGAUGUGACUAAAGGAAGGAGAGGCCAUCAUACUCAUCCUAGUGCCAAUUAACUCAAAAUGACUGAGGAUAAUUCUUUGAUGGGGUAAUUUUUGAACAAGAUGAUAUUAUAUGAUAAGAAAAAGGUCUAUGUGAUAUUUGAAUAUAAUUUGAUAUUUACUUUGCUUAAAAAAAAAACUUUAAAAUAUUAAAAUGAGAGUCCAUAAAAAUUGAAGAAUGAUUUUUAUAAUUUAAAAAUAAAUAUAGUAAAUGCGUCACAUCAAAUUAUGGCACGCCACCUAAGAAUAGGAUAAGGAACCUAAAGUACAAAGAUCCGUCAUUUUCAAAUUGUGUGGCGGGUUGAGUGUGGGGAAUAUCAUCCUAAGAGUGAGACUUUUCUCAAUAGUACAGUAAUUUUAAAAAGUUAUGCUUAAAUUAUUAUAGUAGAAGAAGUUAUUAUAAAUAUAUGGUAGUUUUUGCCACCUAAGAGAGAGGAGAGAGAGUGAACCGAUAAAUUUUUUUUAAAACCAAAAUUGUCUUUUCAAAAGACGAUUUUAAAAAAAUUUCAAAAGGUAAAUCGUCUCUUCAAGAGAUGAGUUCCAUGGAAAAAAAUAUAUAUUUUUUUAAAAAAAAAUUCCUUAAGGGAACUCGUCUCUUCAAUAAACGAGUUCCACAAAAAAUAUAUAUAUAAAUUCCCAAAAAAAAAAAACACAAUUCCUCAAUGGAGCUCGUCUCUUCAAGAGAUGAGUUCCAUGAAUAUAUAUUUUUAAAAAAAUUCUCAAAUUAUAAAAAAAAAAAAAAAAAAAAGGAAAAUUCCUCAAGGGAACUCGUCUCUUCAAGAGACGAGUUCCCAUGAAAUUUUUUUUUUUUAAAAAAAAAUAUAUUCCCAAAUUAAAAAAAAAAAAAAUAUUCCUCAAGGGAACUCGCCUUUUUUUUUUUUUUUUUUUUUUUUUAUAAUUUGGGAAUUUUUUUAAAAUAUAUAUAUAUAUAUAUAUUCAUGGAACUCGUCUCUUGAAGAGACGAGUUCCCUUGAGGAAUUUUCUUUUUUAUUUUUUUUUUAUUUCGGGAAUUUUUUUCGUUCCCUUGAGGAAUUGUUUUUUUUUUUUUUAAUAAUUUGGGAAUUUUUUAAUAUAUAUAUAUAUAUAUAUUUUCAUGGAACUCGUCUCUUGAAGAGACAAGUUCCCUUGAGGAAUUUUCUUUUUUUUCUUUUUAUUUUUUUAAUUUGGGAAUUUUUUUUCCAUGGGAACUCGUCUCUUGAAGAGACAAGUUCUCUUGAGGAAUUGUUUUUUUUUUAUAUAUAUAAUUUGGGAAUUUUUUUAUAUAUAUAUUUUCAUAGAACUCGUCUCUUGAAGAGAGGAUUUCCCUUUUGAAAUUUUUUUUAAAUCAUCUUUUGAAAUUUUUUUUAAAUCAUCUUUUGAAAAAACUAUUUGAAAUUUGAAAUGAUGAUUUUGGUUUUAAAAAAAAAUUAUCUACUCACCCUCUCUCCUCUCUCCUAAGUGGUAAAAACUACCGUAUAUUUGUAAUAACUUCUUCUACUAUAAUAAUUUAAGCAUAACUUUUUUAAAUUACCGUAUGAGAAAAGUCUCCUAAGAGUGAAGCCGCGAGCUGAGAGAAGUCCCACUGGCACUAAAAUUAGAGAAGGCUUCAGUUACGUCAUGAACCGAAAGAUUGAAGUGAAGCCAUCUAGAGGAGCCUUGCAAAAAAAAAUAUAUAUGGUGGAGCCGCAUUAGGGCAUGGGGUGAGUACAUAAGUGGAUGCAAGCUUCAUCCGUUGUCCAUUAAGCCUCUUUGGGUUACUGAAUACUGAGAGUAGCUCCAAAUUGCAAUGGCAAAUUCACCUGUAGUGUGGUUAGCAUCGGUGUGCCUUGUGUUCAAUAUCUUGUCCCUUCCAUUCCUAGCAUUGGGCUUAUCUUCUUGUGGUGGCUCAUGUCAAACACUUAAUGACUGUGAAGGUCAGCUCAUUUGCAUCAAUGGUAAAUGUAACGACGAUCCCGAGGUCGGGACUCACAUAUGUGGAGGAAACUCGAGUACCCCUUCCCCUCCAUCCCCCAGUACCUGCCAGCCCUCGGGAACUCUUGCGUGCAAGGGCGGAAAACCCAAAAAUACCUACACAUGCUCUCCUCCGGUCACCUCCUCCACGCCUGCCGUUCUAACUAACAAUAAUUUUGAAAAAGGAGGAGACGGUGGAGGCCCAUCCGCUUGCGACAACAAAUACCAUGACAAUUCAGAGCGCAUCGUAGCAUUGUCAACUGGGUGGUAUAAUGGGGGAUCCCGGUGUGGAAAGAUGAUCAGGAUAACGGCUCAAAAUGGGAGGAGCGUGUUGGCCAAAGUGGUGGAUGAGUGUGACUCCAUGCACGGCUGUGACAAAGAGCAUGCAGGUCAGCCCCCCUGUGAUAAUAACAUAGUUGAUGGAUCUAAUGCUGUGUGGAAUGCUUUGGGGCUGGAUAUCAAUAUUGGUGAAGUGGACGUUACUUGGUCCAUGGCUUAGGUAUAUGGUUGGUUGGUUACUCGGUUUUUGUGUGUACGUACGUACCCUCCUCUUUGUGUUCCCCUCUCUAUUUUGGUUUGUAUGGCUCCGCCAAGCACUAUUUUUAUGUAAUUUUGCAGCAAUAUAUGCAUGCACUGAAAUAAAACUGGAAGGCACUAGCCCAGUGCCACCAGAACCCCAUUAAGUGGUUUGAUUAAUGAAGAGUGAUUUGCGUCACGAUCUACUUGAACCAUCACAUUGAUUAUUAAUGCAACGCCUAAACUACAUCAACUUCCAAUGAGUAUUUUAUAUUAAUUUGACAUUGAGAUUCACCUUAUAUAUAGCAAUACUGAUCUUGGGAAAAUACAUAUUUUAAAAUUAAAAAGUUGUAAAAUCGAAAGAAACUUAAAAAGUAAAAAGAAAGAAAAGAAAAGAACAUAGAAGGUCUUAUCUAAUGGGUGGUACUAGAUCACUUUGAUGAGGUCGCAGUGAAGAAAUUAACAAGAUCCCCAGGAAAGAGAUGCUGUGCAAUAAGAAAUAUCAUCCUGGAACCCAAAUAUAAAAAGCCCCAUGGAGUUAUUGACGGGUACAUCAGUCAUAUAUAUACAUAUAUAAUACUUUGUCUUGAUCUAUACUUUUCAACAGUUUUUCUAUUAUUGUCUAUCCUAAUACAAGAUAAUUUAACUGAUAAAAGCCUAAGUGCCUUAUACCUAAACCAGAUUUCAUAUCUAUUUAUCUAUUAAAUAAUUUAAAAUAAAAUAAAAUAAUUAAAGUUAGAACACAAAUUAACUCUGAGAUAUGGAACUUAAAUGUUGAUUUUGUCACUUACUAGUCCAUAUUCAAAGUUGGGUUGUAGAAACCCAAUCUUGAUUAGUUGAAUUAAAAAUCAAUAAUUAGGGAAGAUAAAAAAAAACCAAUCAACACACAAAAUAAAAUAUUUUUAACAUGGAAAACUUUCAUGCAAUAUGAAGAAAUAAAAAGUCAGAAGUCAUAAACUUCAAAUCUACAUCUAUUAUAUGAGAAUACAAUACACACUUUUAUCUAGCAGAUUGCAUUUGAAUCUCAUCUUAGCGCUUAAAAUGAUGCAAAUCUCCUUCACAAUCCAACAAAGACAAACAUGAACACUUCCUUGAAAGCUUUAAGAAUAAGAAGACAAAUUACAUUUUCCAGCUAGAAAAACUAAGCCAAAAACCUUUUUGAGUAAGGUAUAUGUACGCCCACAGACUUAGUGGACCAAUUCUCAAAAAAUCCUCAUGCAAUUUAAAUCCUUUAAAAUUGGAAAGAGAAAACUUUAGAAUUCUAGAGGAUUCUAUGUCGAGUGCUCAAGCACCCUCAUAUAGGGAUGACAACGGGGUGGGUUCGGGACAGGUCGCCCCCAUCCCAACCCCACCCCGUUUAUUCGAAAUAAUUCUCAUUCCCAUCCCAUUUAAAAAAUUAAACGGGAUGGGACGGGCCGAGGCGAGUAUGAUAAAUUUUCAUACUUGUCCUGUUUAACUUUUUUUUUUUUUUAAUUUUUUUUAAAAAAAUUACUUUUAAAUUUUUAAUUAUAUUAAAAUAAAUAUAUUUUAUAAAUAAUUAAAUUAUUAUAUUUUUUAUAACUUAUUUUAUUAAAAAUAUUUUAUUAUUAUCUAUAUAUUAAAAAUAAUAAAAUAAAAAUUAAAUUAAAUUAAUUUUAAAUUAUAAAUUAAAUUAAAUUUAAAAAUUAAUUUUAUAUAUAAUCGGAGCAGGGCUGGGUGGAGUGGGGCAAUACCCGAACCAGUCCCGAGUUUUUAAAAAAAUUCUCAAACUCAUCACAAACCUAUUUAUUAAAAUUAAACUCCGUCCCAUUAGAGACGGGACGAGGCGGGUACCCGAAUAAACCCGCCCCAUUGCCAUCCCUACCCUCAGAGCAUUUGAGUGCUUCUCAAGCAUUGAAUCCAGGCUUCAAGGUUCAUGUAGUUUUUAAACCCUAAAAAAAAAUUCAUUUUGAUCAAUUUUAAAAACUCGAUGGAUGUCAUGCUACACCAACUACUAAUUUGUCUUUCUAAGACAUUUCUAUACUUACCAAACUCAAUCGAUGCCAUGUUAUACCAAAAUAUGUAUAUAUAAACCAUUUUAACAAGAUUUUAUUGAUUUUAGUUUUUAAAAAUAGUUUUUUAUUAACCAUAUUUUAGUAAAGGGAAAAAGAGAAAUUCUUAUUAGUAAAUGUUUUCUAAAACAAAUGGAACCCAAAACUCUAAAUGUGCUUUAGAAAUUUUUUGGAAAACCAAAACCUGUUUUCUAAAAGGUUGAAAGAAAGAUAAUAAACAAAAUCUUGUGAGAUCCUUCUAUAUGAAUAUCAUAAAUAUAAAUGAAAAUGAAAAUGAAUAAAAUUACACAAUAUAGCAUGACUUAUCUGUAUAUAUUUGAAAUAUAAUAUUCUUUUAUAAGUGUUAUUACAAUUUAAAGUUAUAUCAAGUAUAUAUAUUUUUUCAUAUUAGGUUAAUUCAUUUUAUUAUAUUUUAUAAAUAGAUUUAAACUUUUUCUUGCAUUAUUUUAAAAUAAAAUUAGAGUAAAGGAAAUGUAAAAUAUAUGAACAAAUUUAAUUUUAGUGUUUUUAUUUGAUUAAGAAAUAAACAAGAAAUAAAAUUUUAUACUUUUUAUUUUUAAAAACGAAUUUUCAUUUUGCUCAACCGAAAGCCUUUUCAAAGUGAUCAUUGUCAAGAGUAUGGGCAACCAAAGGCAGCUAGAGGUUUAGUUGUAGUGUGUAGCAUGUGCAAAGACUUUGAAUUCAAGCCAUAAACGUGCACUACCUCUCUCUCCCUUAGUUGCAUUUGUCAUGUUCUCUUGUGAUGAUCUCCUUUAGAUGCUUAGACCCUUUGGGUCACGUGAACUAGUGGCAAGAAAAAUGAAUUGAUUUCAUGAUGGAGAGUGUAGGGACCCCUCCCCUUGGGAAACACGUGGCACGCGGCUCAUGGUGACGCGUGGCACGUGCUGUCAGCCGGACCAUCAUCAUCCGGAUUCCCCUACAGAUACGUAUGGUGCGACUAUCCUAUCCGGAACCCCCCAAGGAAAGACAAACAACGUUUCAGCUUCUCCUAUCCAAGGAAGAGCAAACGACGCUGGCAGAACGUAGACACCCGGAUAGUCUCCACAAACACAUCCGGAUAUUCAGCAUGAUCCAUCCGGAUAUAAAUCGUCUGGAUGGUCAAUUAAAGUAAAGCGAGUCUUACACGCAAUCACAACAAGCAGCCAUGGCCCACAUCCCAUCACCUGCAGAAUGAGAAGACAAGAGGAAGUGACAGCAAGUCACUUCCCACGAUCAUUCUGCAUAAUCGCUUCCCACGAUCUCUGACAGCCGCAUCACCUACCAUGGUCUCUGACAGCCAUUCGUAGGAUGAUAGUGCUCCUACUAACACCUAUUGUCAUCAUCACAACAGAAAAUAUCUCCCCACCAUUAAUGAGAGGAACAGUACCCCUGAAGCUGUAUAUAUAUGACUUCACACGAAGAAGAAAGGGAUGAUCUCCCGGUAACCUCUUGACACCUAGUAAAAGGCCAACUGCCUCAUAUAUCUUAUUCUCUUAUCAUGGCUAACAACAUCAUCGGAGGGUGCAUCCGGACACCUUGUCCGGAUGCCUUUUUACAGGUACAACCACUGAAUCAAGAACCCCUUGUGUGUUGAGAAUCGCGUGUCCAUCCAUCUAGCAGCAACGCGGCCCACCUGAUACGCGAGGUGACAACAUUGGCGCCGUCUGUGGGAACCUUUUACUUUUUAUUUUGAUUCAGUCACUAGCAAAGAUGGCCACACCUUCCCAAAGUCGAUCAUCUGGUAGAGAGGAAGAAGAUAAUCACGAAUGGCGUCAAGCCAUCGAAAAAAGACAGUUGGCGAGCGAAAAACAGCUAAGAGCUCUCCUCCAGGAGACGGAGAGGUUAAGGGAAGAAAACGCUGUGUUACGCAUUCAAGCCUCAACAUCAAGACCUCCUCGUCGUCAGCGCUCAAAAGGUCAAGUGGCGAACUCAAGGCCAGAGCCAGAAUCAAUAUAUCCUGGGUCAACAGGAGCUGUCCCAGGAACAUACAACGCAAGGCCCCAUGAGCCACGCACACCCAUGCCUCGAGCUCCCCGUGAGGAAAGCUCAGAUUCCACUCAUUUCUCAGCAAAAAGACAACGUGAUAGAAAAUCACAGUUGUCAAGUUCUAUGCGCGCAAGACUAGACCCACAGGAGCCUGGGAGAUCAAGGCCACCAGUAGCCACAACUCGGGCGCCACGCCCCGAUCCUAUGAUUGCUCCCAUGGUGCAGAACGUACCUCCGCAUCGUGACCCCAUGGUCACCCCAGCGAUGCGGAACGUUCACUCACACCUAGCGGAACGAUCACUCACACCUAGCGGAACGACCAGCUGGGAGAAACCUCCCAAACGAGCCACCCAUUGGCUCCAUCAGCAAAAGGCUGGAUGACAUGCUCUCCACGCCCUUUUGCUCUCAUAUCACCCAUUACGAGCCCCCAAGAGGAUUUCUCGUACCAAAGUUUUCCACAUACGAUGGGACCAACGAUCCCUUCGAUCACAUCAUGCACUAUCGACAGCUUAUGACGCUCGAUAUUGGCAACGAUGCAUUAUUAUGCAAAGUAUUCCUUGCCAGCCUUCAAGGGCAGGCCCUUUCAUGGUUUCAUCGCCUACCUCCUAACUCUGUUGACAAUUUUAGGGACCUCUCUGAAGCAUUCGUGGGACAGUACUUAUGCUCUGCUCGACACAAGCAGAAUAUCAGCACCCUCCAGAACAUAAAAAUGAAAGACAACGAAUCCUUGAGGGAAUUUGUGAAACGAUUUGGCCAAGCCGUACUCCAAAUAGAGGUUUGCAGCAUGGACGCUGUCCUACAGAUCUUCAAAAGAAGCAUCUGUCCAGGCACCCCAUUUUUCGAAUCGCUGGCAAAAAAACCUCCUACAACGAUGGACGAUUUGUUCAGACGCGCUAACAAAUAUUCAAUGCUCGAAGAUGACGUACGUGCAGCCACUCAGCAAGUUUUGGUUGCCGGACGGGCUUCUAGAGAUAACGUGGACAGACAUGCCAAACCUCCGGACCGGCCAAAACCAAUUGACCGGAGGCAGGACGGGCCGAGUCGUCCGGAUAGGCCGUCCAUCACACCCCUAUCCAUAUCAUACGAAAAACUUCUCCCAAUGAUCCAAGGGUUGUCCGACUUCAGGUGGCCUAGACCCCUCGAAACGGACCCAUCUAUAAGAGACCGCAGCAAGAAAUGCGCCUUCCACAAAGACCAUGGUCAUACAACAAAGACAUGUCGGUCCCUCCAGUAUCUAGUUGAGAGGCUCAUCAAAGCAAGACAUUUAAAACAGUACCUCCCCUCAGAUACUGGAGGAAGGGACGCAUCACAGCAUCAUAACUCUGGGGCCCCGAGGGCCCCAGUCGCCCCCAAGGCUGUCAUAAACUAUAUCAACGGGGGCCCAUCUGACGAGGAAUACGAUUCCAGGCGGAAAAGACAGAAAUUGCUGCGAGCCGCGUCAAUACGCGAACGCAUUAAUUCCAUCCGGCCGGGUCUUACUGGGGAGGGCCCUCGCCCCAUUGAUGGGACAAUCAUUUUCCCACCAGUAGAUCCCACCCGAACGCUACAGCCACAUCGCGACGCCCUCAUCCUCUCUCUAGAAAUAGGAGAUUUUGAUGUAAGACGUAUCUUGGUUGAUCCAGGCAGUUCAGCCGAUCUAGUACAAGCAUCAGUCAUUGGCCAUAUGGGACAUAGUCCCGCGGGUCUCGAAAACCCCGGACGAAUCUUAUCCGGAUUCAACGGAUCAUCAACAACAUCCUUAGGAGACAUUAUACUGCCGAUUCGAGCUGGACCAGUCACUCUCAACGUGCAAUUCUCGGUGGUACAAGAGUUGUCACCCUUCAAUGUCAUCUUGGGACGCACAUGGCUUCACUACAUGAAAGCCAUCCCUUCCACAUAUCAUCAAAUGGUGAGUUUCCUCACCAACGAAGGGCAAACUGACUUGUAUGGCAGCCAGUUAGCCGCUCGCCAGUGCUACCAAAUAGCACGUGAAGCAGUCGCUAACCAGGAGGAUGCAUCUCCCCCUGAACCUAGCAUUGCGCACGACCAAUAGCAAUUAUUGGGUCCGGUGGACAAGGAUCCCCCGGUAGCAGAUCCCUUACAAACAAUCCAAAUCUCAGAAGAGAAUGAUCACCUCACAAACGUCAGUUCCCUCAUGACACAAGAAGAAACCCAGAGCAUACAAAAUAUCCUUCGAAGCAACCAUGACAUCUUCGCAUGGACACAUUCGGAUAUGAAGGGAAUUCAUCCCUCUAUCGCCUCUCACAAGCUUAACGUCCUUCCAGCAGCCAGACCCAUUCGACAGAAGAUUAGACGCUUUCACCCGGAUAGACAAAGAGUUAUCCAAGAUGAAAUUAACAAAUUGUUGGAAGCAGGAUUCAUCAGAGAGGUAUCUUAUCCGGAUUGGUUGGCAAAUGUAGUAGUGGUACCAAAGAAAGAGGGCAAAUGGCGAGUCUGUGUUGAUUACACCAAUCUCAAUAAUGCAUGCCCAAAAGACAGUUUUCCCUUACCACGGAUAGAUCAAAUUGUGGAUUCCACUUCCGGGCAAGGGAUGCUCUCUUUCUUGGAUGCCUUCUCCGGAUAUCACCAAAUUCCCAUGUCUCCGGAUGACGAAGAAAAAACAGCAUUCAUAACGCCACACGGCCUCUAUUGCUACAAAGUCAUGCCAUUCGGACUCAAAAACGCUGGCGCCACGUAUCAAAGAUUGAUGACUAAAAUCUUCAAACCUCUGAUAGGCCGCUCGGUCGAGGUAUACAUUGACGAUAUCGUGGUUAAAAGCAAAACUCGAGAGCAGCAUAUCCUCCAUCUACAAGAAGUAUUUUACCUCUUGCGAAAGUACGACAUGAAGCUAAAUCCUUCCAAAUGUGCCUUUGGCGUGAGUGCUGGCAAGUUUCUGGGAUUUAUGGUCAGCCAAAGAGGCAUAGAAGUCAGCCCGGAUCAAGUCAAAGCAGUCAUGGAGACACCUCCCCCCAGGAACAAAAAGGAGUUACAACGCCUCACAGGCAAGCUCGUUGCGUUAGGACGUUUUAUAGCCCGCUUCACUGAUGAGUUGCGACCCUUCUUCUUAGCGAUACGAAAAGCUGGAACCCAGGGAUGGACGGACAAUUGCCAAAACGCGUUGGAAAGAAUUAAACAUUGUCUUAUGCAUCCACCCAUCUUGAGCAGCCCCAUCCCAAAGGAAAAGCUAUAUAUGUAUUUAGCUGUCUCAGAAUGGGCAAUCAGCACCGCUCUAUUCCGCUGCCCUUCACCAAAGGAGCAGAAACCUGUCUACUAUGUCAGCAGGGCAUUGGCAGAUGUAGAAACCAGGUAUUCAAAAAUGGAGCUAACAGCCUUAGCUCUUCGAAGUGCUGCCCAAAAGCUCCGCCCCUAUUUUCAAGCCCACCCAGUGAUUGUACUGACCGAUCAACCCCUUCGCAGCAUUCUACACAAACCAGAUUUAACUGGGCGAAUGCUACAAUGGGCCAUCGAAUUGAGCGAAUUUGGAAUCGAAUUCCAACCCAGAUUAUCCAAAAAAGGCCAAGUAAUGGCCGACUUUGUGCUCGAAUAUUCACGAAGACCCAACCAGCACCACGAAUCAAGUGAACAGGAGUGGUGGACACUACGAGUUGACGGAGCCUCGCGCUCAUCAGGCUCUGGAGUUGGGCUCGUAUUACAGUCCCCAACUAGGGAACAUCUGGAGCAAACCAUCCGGUUGGGAUUCUCCGCGUCUAACAAUGAGGCAGAAUACGAGGCCAUCCUGUCCGGAUUGGACCUCGCCCUUGCUCUAUCUGUCUCCAAACUCCGGAUCUACAGCGACUCGCAACUAGUGGUAAGGCACAUCCAGAAAGAAUAUGAGGCUAAGGACUCACGCAUGGCGCGAUACUUGGCCAAAGUAAGAAGCACCUUACAGCAAUUCACCGAGUGGACAAUCGAAAAAAUUAAGCGAGCUGACAAUAGGCACGCUGACGCUUUGGCCGGCAUAGCUGCCUCUCUACCUAUCAAAGAAGCCAUUCUAUUGCCCAUAUAUGUGCAAGCCAAUCCCUCUGUCGCAGAAAAUUCCACUUGCAACACCAUUGAGGCAACCCAAACGGAUAAUCAAGAAUGGACGCAGGAUAUUGCAGAAUAUAUCCGGACAGGCACUUUACCCAAAGAUCUUAAACAAGCACACAAAAUCCGGGUGCAGGCUGCCCGCUUCACCCUGAUCGGGGGANNNNNNNNNNNNNNNNNNNNNNNNNNNNNNNNNNNNNNNNNNNNNNNNNNNNNNNNNNNNNNNNNNNNNNNNNNNNNNNNNNNNNNNNNNNNNNNNNNNNNNNNNNNNNNNNNNNNNNNNNNNNNNNNNNNNNNNNNNNNNNNNNNNNNNNNNNNNNNNNNNNNNNNNNNNNNNNNNNNNNNNNNNNNNNNNNNNNNNNNNNNNNNNNNNNNNNNNNNNNNNNNNNNNNNNNNNNNNNNNNNNNNNNNNNNNNNNNNNNNNNNNNNNNNNNNNNNNNNNNNNNNNNNNNNNNNNNNNNNNNNNNNNNNNNNNNNNNNNNNNNNNNNNNNNNNNNNNNNNNNNNNNNNNNNNNNNNNNNNNNNNNNNNNNNNNNNNNNNNNNNNNNNNGAGUCCGGACUGUAGAUCGCGCGUCAAACGCGGCUUCUUGAGGGGAGGCCCUUUCACCAGGACUAUAGCCAGGCGAUCCGGGUCGUCGGAAGGCUGACUUUGGCUUUCUGCUCCCGCUUCCUCCAACGGGGCCGUUUCAGCUGCAUCAGCAUCCGGAUUAAGGUUGCCCGGACGGUUGAUAGAUGCAGCUUCCUCAGCCACGUUAGCCAGACGCGCAGCCGCGACCAAGGAAGGACCUGAGUGAUUCAACCCCGACAUGCGUCCGGGGCCGCUUGAGAUAGAGUGCGGAGCAGCAUUUACUGGCUCCUCUAUCAUUACUUCCCCCUCAUAGGUAGUUUGGGGAGGAGGAAACUGCUUGGGAGGAGUGGGUUCCUUCAUGUCCUUCCCAUGCUUCUUCACCAGCUUCCCCCUUUUUCCUGAAGUUUUCUUUGGAGGAGAGUCCGGACCCCGCUUCUGUCCGGGAGCCUUCCGGAUAGUGCCUUCAGUUUUUUUCUGAUCUCUAUCCUCCAGGAGCUUUCGCCGCCUUUCAGCGUCAGCCUCUUUGGCUUCCUGACAGAGGGGGAGCUCCUUCACAGUAUAAUGCUCCCCAGGCACUAUCUCAUCCUUUGCCAAUUUCCUAGGAAGAAUAUUGAUAACAUAUUCCUGGGGCUCCCGGACGACCUCCGUCAAAUUCCGCGCGGAAAGCAAUGUUUUGUAGGCCCUCUCCUUGGGGUCUAUUUCAAAUAAUUUGCAGACGCAGGCAAAGGACGCCUUUUCCACCCAAUCCACAAGGUGGCCCCUCAAUUCCAAACCUGCAUUGUCAGCAACAAAGGGUGAGAAUUCUGUCCGGAAAAAUCAGAAAAAAUCAGCAAAGCAAAAUCCGAAUAAAAAAUCGCAAAACAAGAUUACCCGGGAUUUGUAAGGUAUAAUUCGGAGAAAAAGGCCUCGACGGAUGCUGCGAUAGCCCCGCCCAUCCACCCCAGACUGCCACCAGCCCCUUCGCCCCUCCCUUUGUCGAAUCUGGCAGUUCUGUCACCAUUUGAAGGGAGGGCAGGUGAGCGGACACACUGAAGAUAUCAUUCUUUGCUUUCUUCAGGGAAUAGACAAAGAACAAUUCCAGUAGCGUAAGGUCGAGGCUGUACAGCAUGUUGAUAAUGCUGCAUCCCAUCAGCACCCGGACAAGGUUGGGAUGAAUGAAGAUGGGUGGAAUCUGAGAGAAGUGGAGGAAUUCCUUGAACAAGGCUGGCAGAGGGAACCGGAGCCCCGCGUUGAAUUGUUCCUUUGUGAAGAGGAUAGCGUUUUUUCCACCUUUCUCAGUAGGAAUAGCCGCCUCCUCGUUCACCAGGUCUAUCAAUACGUCAUGGGGGAUGCGGAAUCGCUCCCGGAACUCCUUCGCAUUUANNNNNNNNNNNNNNNNNNNNNNNNNNNNNNNNNNNNNNNNNNNNNNNNNNNNNNNNNNNNNNNNNNNNNNNNNNNNNNNNNNNNNNNNNNNNNNNNNNNNAAUCUGGCAGUUCUGUCACCAUUUGAAGGGAGGGCAGGUGAGCGGACACACUGAAGAUAUCAUUCUUUGCUUUCUUCAGGGAAUAGACAAAGAACAAUUCCAGUAGCGUAAGGUCGAGGCUGUACAGCAUGUUGAUAAUGCUGCAUCCCAUCAGCACCCGGACAAGGUUGGGAUGAAUGAAGAUGGGUGGAAUCUGAGAGAAGUGGAGGAAUUCCUUGAACAAGGCUGGCAGAGGGAACCGGAGCCCCGCGUUGAAUUGUUCCUUUGUGAAGAGGAUAGCGUUUUUUCCACCUUUCUCAGUAGGAAUAGCCGCCUCCUCGUUCACCAGGUCUAUCAAUACGUCAUGGGGGAUGCGGAAUCGCUCCCGGAACUCCUUCGCAUUUAGUUUAUCUAUCGCCUUUUCGCCAGCCUCGCUGACCCGGACAGACGAAACAGUCUUUUUUGGAGUCAUUUCUUACCACAAAGCCAAAGCAAAAUCUACACGCAAAAACAAUGCAAACGGUCCAGACCAAGCAAUCAGAAAAUACACAAACUCAAAGCAGUCAGAAAAACCCCUCAAAAACCCCUCCAAACAAACAACAAAGUACCAACAUUAAACAAACAAUUGCAAGCGACUUGUUCAAAACAAAGCCAGGAACCAAGUUUAAAGAACCGGCAAACGCAACCAAAGGAAUGACAAUAGCAAAGAGGUACGUACCAAAUAGAGCUCUGGAGAAGAAAAACGGUUACUCUCUCGGUAUAAAAUCACCGGCAACAAACAAACGAGGUCGUUCGAAGUUUUUCUCAGAAAAGCAAAGGACGCAGAAAAAGUAAGAAGAAGGAAGGCUCUCAAGAGAAUGCAGUAGAAAAAAUACAAAAAGAGGUACAGUGCCCUAUUUAUAGCAGGACAGCCCCUCGGAAAGCCAAACCAACAGCCGUGUUAUCAUUGAAACGACAUAUUGCCUGGGGAUACACAGGGUCGGCGGCUCGCCAUAAAUGCCUUUUUUGGCUUUCGCACCCCCACUCGCCACGUGGCUAAGUUAGACGAAUGGACUUUUUCAAUUUUCAAAAACCCAGUUAUUUUUAACCCGCCCAUUUUUUGGCAAAAUAAGCAAGUUAAAAAGGGGGGCAAUGUAGGGACCCCUCCCCUUGGGAAACACGUGGCACGCGGCUCAUGGUGACGCGUGGCACGUGCUGUCAGCCGGACCAUCAUCAUCCGGAUUCCCCUACAGAUACGUAUGGUGCGACUAUCCUAUCCGGAACCCCCCAAGGAAAGACAAACAACGUUUCAGCUUCUCCUAUCCAAGGAAGAGCAAACGACGCUGGCAGAACGUAGACACCCGGAUAGUCUCCACAAACACAUCCGGAUAUUCAGCAUGAUCCAUCCGGAUAUAAAUCGUCUGGAUGGUCAAUUAAAGUAAAGCGAGUCUUACACGCAAUCACAACAAACAGCCAUGGCCCACAUCCCAUCACCUGCAGAAUGAGAAGACAAGAGGAAGUGACAGCAAGUCACUUCCCACGAUCAUUCUGCAUAAUCGCUUCCCACGAUCUCUGACAGCCGCAUCACCUACCAUGGUCUCUGACAGCCAUUCGUAGGAUGAUAGUGCUCCUACUAACACCUAUUGUCAUCAUCACAACAGAAAAUAUCUCCCCACCAUUAAUGAGAGGAACAGUACCCCUGAAGCUGUAUAUAUAUGACUUCACACGAAGAAGAAAGGGAUGAUCUCCCGGUAACCUCUUGACACCUAGUAAAAGGCCAACUGCCUCAUAUAUCUUAUUCUCUUACCAUGGCUAACAACAUCAUCGGAGGGUGCAUCCGGACACCCUGUCCGGAUGCCUUUUUGCAGGUACAACCACUGAAUCAAGAACCCCUUGUGUGUUGAGAAUCGCGUGUCCAUCCAUCUAGCAGCAACGCGGCCCACCUGAUACGCGAGGUGACAACAGAGAGGUCAUCAUGCUCAUCCUAGUGCCAAUUAACUCAAAACAACUAAGGAUAAUUCUAUGAUGGGGUAAUUAUCGAACAAGGUGAUAUUACAUGAUAAGAAAAAGGUUUAUUUGAUAUCUCAAUAUAAUUUGAUAUUUAGGUUGCUUAAAAAGAUUAAAAUGAGAUUGAAGAAUGAUCCGUCAUUUUCGAAUUGUGUGGCGGGUCGAGUGUGGGGAACAUCAUCCUAAGAGUAAAGCCACGCCAGAGAGAAGUCCCACUGGCACUGAAAUCAAGGCAACUAGAAGAAAAGGCUUCAGUUACGUCGUCAACCGAAAGAGUUGAAGUGAAGCCAUCCAGAUGAGGCAUUAACUGCAAAGAAAAAACAAAACAUGUGGCUGCUUAAUUUCUUGAUAUGGUGGAGCCGCAUGAGGGCAUGAGUUGAGUAUAUAAGUGGAUGCAAGCUUCAUUCCUUGACCAUUAAGCCUCUUUGGGUUACUGAAUACUGAGAGUAGAACCAAAUUGCAAUGGCAAAUUCACCUGUAGUGUGGUUAGCAUCCGUGUGGCUUGUGUCCAAUAUAUUGUCCCUUCCAUUCCUGGAAUUGGGUAUAUCUUCUUGUGGUGGCUCAUGUCAAACACUUAAUGACUGUGAAGGUCAGCUCAUGCAUCGAUGGUAAAUGUAACGACGAUCCCGAGGUCGGGACUCACAUAAAUGGAGGAAGUUCAAUUACCCCUCCACCUCCACCUCCCGGUACCUGCCAGCCCUCCGGAACUCUUGCGUGCAAUGGUGGAAAACCCAAAAAUACCUACACAUGCUCUCCUCCGGUCACCUCCUCCACGCCUGCCGUUCUAACUAACAAUAAUUUUGAAAAAGGAGGGGACGGUGGAGGCCCAUCCACUUGCGACAACAAAUACCAUGACAAUUCAGAGCGCAUCGUAGCAUUGUCAACUGGGUGGUAUAAUGGGGGAUCCCAGUGUGGAAAGAUGAUUAGGAUAACGACUCAAAAUGGGAGGAGCGUGUCACAGUGGUGGAUGAGUGUGACUCCAAAUCUUUAUGAUUAAUGUUUUCCGUGAUGCCCCAAUUACUAAUACAUGCAGUUACUUCGUCAACGCAACAUAUAUCAUGUGAACAUUACUAUACUAUCUGCCUACAAGAUACUGUUGGCAGUACGUACGUACCAACCAAUUAGUAUCUCUAGGAUUCUCAUAGUAUUAAUUAUCUAUUCCAAUCUACUCAUUUUCAUCGAAAUAACUAUAAUUAAAAUAUCUGCAAACAUUUUAGGAAAAUAGAUAUGCAUACCUAUGGGUCUUUUGGACUUAAAACUUACCACAGUACAGAUAUAUCAAAGCUUUGUCAAGUGUUGUGGUAGUAGAACAUAUAACUGUAAACCAAAGACUUUAUACGACUACUCGGAUACAUUUGUACAUGUCUAUGAAUUCACACACUUAUUGCCCUAUGGAUAUCCCAACUAUCAUGAGAAUUAAUUGUAGAGUACGUAGGUCUCAAUCUCUUAGGAUGGCCCCAGUUCCACACUCAUUCAGGUAAUUAUCAAAAAUUUUCCUGCCAACCAUCCUAACUUUAUAGCUUAUAGACUAAUUAAGACUUUCCACUCCGGCUCUAUAGCACUACAUGAAAGUCGUAAUGUAAAGACAUCCCAGAUGAAGUGUGGCACAAAUAAUGAGGAGGAAGAAAAAUCGUAAUGAACAGAAAGCCCAAUAACUAGCAGGGAAAGCCAAUGACUCCCAAGCACCACGUGUAUUAUGCGCACAAGCGGAAAUAAUUUGGAGAAAAUUUAGAUUUGCACGUGUAUCAUGUGUUGAAAGUCAAAAUUAUGUUUGGGUAAAGGACCAAUAUGACCCAAAAUCUAGAUUUGCACCCUUGACACUUUUAAAAUAGAACCCUACAUUUCAAACCUAUUAUAUAUAUACCAUUUGGAAAUAAAAUACCUAAAUAAAAGGGAUCCGAUGAUCAAAUGGCCCCUUUGUAAAUCAAUGAGAGAUGAAGAUGCUCAAAAAUCUUCAUAAAUAAUUGAAAUUUUUUGUUCCAUCAUUUCUAGAUACAAAAAUGGGUUUAUGGAUUUAAAGAGUGUUUUUCAAGGGGAAAGCCCCUUGACCUUAUUGCCUAUGGCCUCUUUUAUAAGCAUUCUUCCCAUGCAGAUGUAUUGUAAAUCUUGUGAAGGAGCAGACUUUUUCUAUAAGCUUUAACUUUUGGGUGAAUGAGGAUAAGAGCAGUUGAAUUUGUCUUUUCAAGCACAAGUUGGUCAAUCAUGUCAACUUGUAAGAAGAUCUUCCCUUUUUAUGAUCUUUAUUUUGGGGUAAGGUAAAUUUGUAUCUUUUCAAAUAAGUGUUGUAUGACUGCAAAUGAGACUUUUUAAAAACUAUAAGUUUUAGAGUAAACUUGUGUUGUUCAUUUGGAAUUAGGUUCUUUAAUCAAAUUGGGUGAAUGGUGCUACCUCUUUACUCGAGAUGGCCUCAGGGUUGGGUGGCUGAAGAUUAGUAUUUCAAGAUGGCUUGUUUAUUGUUCACUUCAAGAGACAAGAAAGAACUCAUUCCUACAAGGUUGCUUCGCCCUACCAAAGAAUUGUUGCUUCUUCAAUAAAUAUUCCUUCUCUGCGGGAAGGCUCCACUUUUAUAGUUCUUAAUUCAUGCAUCAUUAUUACAAAAGUUGCAGCCGAGGGAUUGUGUACAUAAACUAUGGUCUAUGAAGACAGCCAUAUCAAUGCCUUGAUAGUGUGAAAUUUAGCUUUCUUUCGAGUAAUUUAUUUCCCCCCCUUUUAUAGGUAGAGGGUGGAGCAAGAUAGGCGGAUGAUCAAAAAUCGACUAGUGCAAAUUGAAUUGAAAGGAGUCCAAUUGGGGUUGGCCCAGCAAUUUGAUUGUGUGGAACUCUACCAAGAAAUAGCACAUGAUAUAACGUCACAAAAGAGGAGAACGAUUAGUUCUGGAUUGAGUUAUCAUAAUUUCGUGCAGAGCCAAGUUUCAUCCACCCAUCACGCAUGCCCGGAAAAAAAACAAAAAAUCUGAGGAGCUACACUAAAUGCCUCCUCAAUAGAGCAGGUUGACCCGUAGCCAAUGCCCACAAGUUAAUGGCCAAGUUGAAGAAAUUAAAGGUGCCCCGCUAUGUGGACCAAUUGCAUUUAGCACUCAUUACUUCCUGAGCCAGACAACAGCUUGGAGUGGAUUCAGUAUCAAUAUAAGCAGCCUCUUCCUUAGGCCUCAUCCAAAACAUUCCAAACCGCUGGGCCAAUUUACCUUAUUGAAGGUGGCUCCAAUGGCAAAUUUAGCACUGUUGCUAGCAUCUCUGUGUCUUCUCUCCAACAUUUUCUCCCUCCCAUUCCUUGCAUUUGCUAUAUCCUCCUGUGGUGGCCCAUGUCAAACCCUUAACGACUGUGAGGGUCAGCUCAUAUGCGUCAGUGGUAAAUGUAAUGAUGAUCCAGACGUCGGGACUCACAUUUGUCAAACCCCAUCACCAUCCCCUCCAAGCGGCUCUAACUGUCAAGCCUCCGGCACUCUUACGUGCGGGGGAAUAUCCUAUCCCACCUACAGAUGCUCCCCUCGGGUUACAUCCUCCACACCUGCCAAACUCACAAACAAUGACUUUAGCGAAGGCGGGGACGGUGGAGGCGCGUCGGAGUGUGAUGAGCAGUACCAUAGCAACUCGGAGCGUAUUGUCGCCCUGUCAACCGGGUGGUACAAUGGCGGAUCGCGAUGUGGAAAGAUGAUCAGGAUUACGGCACAAAAUGGGAGGAGUGUGGUGGCCAAGGUGGUGGAUGAGUGUGACUCCAUGAGGGGGUGUGACCAAGAGCAUGCAUACCAGCCUCCUUGUAAGAAUAACAUAGUUGAUGGAUCUGAUGCUGUGUGGAGUGCUCUGGGGCU
RNAcentral lists this long non-coding RNA (24816 nucleotides) under Vitis vinifera (wine grape). RNAcentral describes it as "long non-coding RNA (VVIN_LNC001695)". The record is from RNAcentral. Lineage: Eukaryota; Viridiplantae; Streptophyta; Magnoliopsida; Vitales; Vitaceae.